UAACCGUAUGUUGACUGUACAAAGGUAGCAUAAUAAAUUGUCUUUUAAUUGAAGAAUUGUAUGAAUGAAUUAAUGAAAUAAUAAUUGUCUCUAAAUUAUUAAAUGAAUUUAAAUUUUUAGUUAAAAUUCUAAAAUUUAGUUAUGGGACGAUAAGACCCUAUAGAAUUU
Molecule: long non-coding RNA, 168 nt
Filed under: Apis mellifera (honey bee)
Lineage: Eukaryota; Metazoa; Arthropoda; Insecta; Hymenoptera; Apidae
Description: uncharacterized LOC113218893, transcript variant X2
Source: RNAcentral